CUCGCCGGCGAGAUCAUUUACAAUUUAGAAGAAGACGAAGUACGACGCAUGCCGUGGCCCGAAUGGUUAACUGCUGCCUAUGCAAAGAAGAGGCAUGUUAUUUAUUCCGGUAACUUUACAGUUUGCUGUAGGAUACUAUC
Long non-coding RNA from Mycetomoellerius zeteki, 140 nucleotides. RefSeq lists it as uncharacterized. The record is from RefSeq and is a predicted model, not a curated record. The transcript is spliced from 3 exons. NCBI's taxonomy places the organism in Eukaryota, Metazoa, Arthropoda, Insecta, Hymenoptera, Formicidae.